UUUAGAAAAAAUAUAAAACUAGAUUAAUAUUAGUUAUGUACUUUAAAAUUAAAAAAUUUGGCGGUGAUUUAAUCUUCUCAGAGGAACUUGUUUUUUAAUCGAUAAACCACGAAAAAUCUUACUUGUUUUUGUUAAAUUAAAUUAAUUUAUUAGUUUGUAUACCAUCAUUAUCAGAUAAUUCUAAAAAGAAAAAUUAUUGAAAAUAAAUAUAAUUAUUUAAAUUAGAUCAUGGUGCAGCUUAUAAGCAAGAUAAAAUGAGUUACAAUAAAUUGUUUUAUAAUGAAUUAAUAAAGUAAAAUUAUUAUGAAGGAGGAUUUGAUAGUAUUAUAAUUUUUAAUAAGUUUAUAAGAAAUUGGCUCUAAAUCAUGUACAUAUCGCCCGUCGCUUUCAUUUAUAAAUGAAAUAAGUCGUAACAUA
Molecule: ribosomal RNA, 417 nt
Filed under: Selatium elongatum
Lineage: Eukaryota; Metazoa; Arthropoda; Malacostraca; Decapoda; Sesarmidae
Description: partial 12S ribosomal RNA
Source: RNAcentral